GUAGUGAGGUGGUGUUUAUUAAUUAGUGUGUGUAUAUAUGGUCAGUAGUGAGGUGGUGUUUAUUAAUUAGUGUGUGUAUAUAUGGUCAGUAGUGAGGUGGUGUUUAUUAAUUAGUGUGUGUAUAUAUGGUCAGUAGUGUUGUGGUGUUUAUUAAUUUGUGUGUGUAUAUAUGGUCAGUCGUGAGAUGGUGUUUAUUAAUUAGUGUGUGUAUAUGUGGUCAGUAGUGUUGUGGUGUUUAUUAAUGAGUGUAAGAUGUAUAUGUGGUCAGUAGUGAGGUGGUGUUUAUUAAUGAGUGUAAGGUGUAUAUGUGGUCAGUAGUGAGGUGGUGUUUAUUAAUGAGUGUAAGGUGUAUAUGUGGUCAGUAGUGUUGUGGUGUUUAUUAAUGAGUGUAAGGUGUAUAUGUGGUCAGUAGUGUUGUGGUGUUUAUUAAUGAGUGUAAGGUGUAUAUGUGGUCAGUAGUGUUGUGGUGUUUAUUAAUGAGUGUAAGGUGUAUAUGUGGUCAGUAGUGUUGUGGUGUUUAUUAAUGUGUGUAAGGUGUAUAUGUGGUCAGUAGUGUUGUGGUGUUUAAAAUGAGUGUAAGAUGUAUAUGUGGUCAGCAGUGAGAUGGUGUUUAUUAAUUAGUGUGUGUAUAUAUGGUCAGUAGUGUUGUGGUGUUUAAAAUGAGUGUAAGGUGUAUAUGUGGUCAGUCGUGUUGUGGUGUUUAUUAAUUAGUACAAGAUGUAUAUGUGGUCAGUAGUGAGGUGGUGUUUAUUAAUUAGUGUGUGUAUAUGUGGUCAGUAGUGUUGUGGUGUUUAAAAUGAGUGUAAGGUGUAUAUGUGGUCAGUCGUGUUGUGGUGUUUAUUAAUUAGUACAAGAUGUAUAUGUGGUCAGUAGUGAGGUGGUGUUUAAUGAGUGUAAGAUGUAUAUGUGGUCAGUAGUGUUGUGGUGUUUAUUAAUUUGUGUGUGUAUAUAUGGUCAGUCGUGAGAUGGUGUUUAUUAAUUAGUGUGUGUAUAUGUGGUCAGUAGUGUUGUGGUGUUUAUUAAUGAGUGUAAGAUGUAUAUGUGGUCAGUAGUGAGGUGGUGUUUAUUAAUGAGUGUAAGGUGUAUAUGUGGUCAGUAGUGUUGUGGUGUUUAUUAAUGAGUGUAAGAUGUAUAUGUGGUCAGUAGUGAGGUGGUGUUUAUUAAUGUGUGUAAGGUGUAUAUGUGGUCAGUAGUGAGGUGGUGUUUAUUAAUGAGUGUAAGAUGUAUAUGUGGUCAGUAGUGAGGUGGUGUUUAUUAAUGAGUGUAAGGUGUAUAUGUGGUCAGUAGUGAGGUGGUGUUUAUUAAUGAGUGUAAGGUGUAUAUGUGGUCAGUAGUGUUGUGGUGUUUAUUAAUGAGUGUAAGGUGUAUAUGUGGUCAGUAGUGAGGUGGUGUUUAUUAAUGAGUGUAAGGUGUAUAUGUGGUCAGUAGUGUUGUGGUGUUUAUUAAUGAGUGU
Molecule: long non-coding RNA, 1453 nt
Organism: Oncorhynchus keta (chum salmon)
Lineage: Eukaryota; Metazoa; Chordata; Actinopteri; Salmoniformes; Salmonidae
Exons: 8
Source: RefSeq, a predicted model, not a curated record